RNAcentral lists this ribosomal RNA (1377 nucleotides) under uncultured bacterium. RNAcentral describes it as "16S ribosomal RNA". It matches the Rfam family "Bacterial small subunit ribosomal RNA", at positions 38 to 1399 of the family's 1533-position model. The record is from RNAcentral.
GGCGGCGUGCCUAAUACAUGCAAGUAGAACGCUGAAGAGAGGAGCUUGCUCUUCUUGGAUGAGUUGCGAACGGGUGAGUAACGCGUAGGUAACCUGCCUUGUAGCGGGGGAUAACUAUUGGAAACGAUAGCUAAUACCGCAUAACAAUGGAUGACACAUGUCAUUUAUUUGAAAGGGGCAAUUGCUCCACUACAAGAUGGACCUGCGUUGUAUUAGCUAGUAGGUGAGGUAACGGCUCACCUAGGCGACGAUACAUAGCCGACCUGAGAGGGUGAUCGGCCACACUGGGACUGAGACACGGCCCAGACUCCUACGGGAGGCAGCAGUAGGGAAUCUUCGGCAAUGGGGGCAACCCUGACCGAGCAACGCCGCGUGAGUGAAGAAGGUUUUCGGAUCGUAAAGCUCUGUUGUAAGUCAAGAACGAGUGUGAGAGUGGAAAGUUCACACUGUGACGGUAGCUUACCAGAAAGGGACGGCUAACUACGUGCCAGCAGCCGCGGUAAUACGUAGGUCCCGAGCGUUGUCCGGAUUUAUUGGGCGUAAAGCGAGCGCAGGCGGUUUGAUAAGUCUGAAGUUAAAGGCUGUGGCUCAACCAUAGUUCGCUUUGGAAACUGUCAAACUUGAGUGCAGAAGGGGAGAGUGGAAUUCCAUGUGUAGCGGUGAAAUGCGUAGAUAUAUGGAGGAACACCGGUGGCGAAAGCGGCUCUCUGGUCUGUAACUGACGCUGAGGCUCGAAAGCGUGGGGAGCGAACAGGAUUAGAUACCCUGGUAGUCCACGCCGUAAACGAUGAGUGCUAGGUGUUGGAUCCUUUCCGGGAUUCAGUGCCGCAGCUAACGCAUUAAGCACUCCGCCUGGGGAGUACGACCGCAAGGUUGAAACUCAAAGGAAUUGACGGGGGCCCGCACAAGCGGUGGAGCAUGUGGUUUAAUUCGAAGCAACGCGAAGAACCUUACCAGGUCUUGACAUCCCGAUGCUAUUUCUAGAGAUAGAAAGUUACUUCGGUACAUCGGUGACAGGUGGUGCAUGGUUGUCGUCAGUUCGUGUCGUGAGAUGUUGGGUUAAGUCCCGCAACGAGCGCAACCCCUAUUGUUAGUUGCCAUCAUUCAGUUGGGCACUCUAGCGAGACUGCCGGUAAUAAACCGGAGGAAGGUGGGGAUGACGUCAAAUCAUCAUGCCCCUUAUGACCUGGGCUACACACGUGCUACAAUGGUUGGUACAACGAGUUGCGAGUCGGUGACGGCAAGCUAAUCUCUUAAAGCCAAUCUCAGUUCGGAUUGUAGGCUGCAACUCGCCUACAUGAAGUCGGAAUCGCUAGUAAUCGCGGAUCAGCACGCCGCGGUGAAUACGUUCCCGGGCCUUGCACACACCGCCCGUCA